GGAGAAAAUCUUCCCUGCCAGAUGCUGUCUACAUCGUGGGUUUCCCCAGUUCAGAGCUGAACCUCCCACCAGUUGCGUGAUCUUCGGGCUAUGGGAACAUGGCAAGUGAAGAAAAUUUAUAGGAACAAAGCAAAGUUGGCCAACAGUUCAAAUGUUCUCUCUUGUAUUGAUGGAGGUAUACAGCACAAUCUCAGAUUAUGAUGUAUCUGCACCUUCGCUUCUGCCAGUAUUAUUUGCUGCACUCAUCAGCUGCAGAGAGACUCUACUGGAGGAAAGAUUGUGCCCAAGGACCUC
Lagopus leucura (white-tailed ptarmigan) is the source of this 294-nucleotide long non-coding RNA. RefSeq lists it as uncharacterized. NCBI's taxonomy places the organism in Eukaryota, Metazoa, Chordata, Aves, Galliformes, Phasianidae. The transcript is spliced from 3 exons. The record is from RefSeq and is a predicted model, not a curated record.